RNAcentral lists this unclassified non-coding RNA (424 nucleotides) under Hevea brasiliensis (rubber tree). Lineage: Eukaryota; Viridiplantae; Streptophyta; Magnoliopsida; Malpighiales; Euphorbiaceae. The record is from RNAcentral.
AAUGGUCACACCAGUUCCCAGUGCCUAGUUAAGCAUUAAAACUUGUAAUGAAAAUAAACAAAUAAUACUCAAUGAGUUGAAAACCUAACUCAUAAACUAAAAUAUCAAAUUAGCAGAUAAAUGAUUCAGAACCAAAAAUUCUUGAGGACCUAUCUGAAAGUGUCAUCAAGAAAAAGAAUCAUAAAAUCACUUGCCACGAUAAACUCUAUCUAUACGUCUAUAUAGCUUGUACUCGAUAACGUUCCCCAGAUGAAAAUGCCACAAGAUUGCAAAAUUCAAUAGAAAAGUGCAUUAUCAGUGAAUCAAACCCAACUGCUAUUGGAUUUGCAUCAGAAUAAAACGGAAAAAAAAAUGAUCAGUCUCUAAAUUGAUUUGACUUGUUUGCAACAACACUCUGAAAGCAUAAUUAUAGCACAAAGUGAUA